Molecule: ribosomal RNA, 352 nt
Filed under: Mastigoproctus giganteus (giant whipscorpion)
Lineage: Eukaryota; Metazoa; Arthropoda; Arachnida; Uropygi; Thelyphonidae
Description: partial 16S ribosomal RNA
Source: RNAcentral
GAAGGUCCCAUAAUCAUUAGUCUUUUAAUUGAGGACUGGAAUGAAAGGUUUGAUGAAUAAAAACUAUUUAGUGUUAAAUUUUGAAAUUAGAUUUAUUGUAAAAAUACAAUAUAGAAAGUAUGGGACGAUAAGACCCUAUCGAGCUUUAUUAAAUUAAUUUGAUGAUGAAAUUUAUUUUCUCUUAUUAAGUAAGGUUUAAUUUUGCUGGGGUGGUAAAUAAAAAAUCUUUGUUUAUUUUUAAAAACUAACAAGUUAGGAAAUUUGAUCUAUUUUUGUAAAUUUGGAAAAGCUACCGUAGGGAUAACAGUGUAAUUUAUUUGAAAAGACCAUAUUGAUAAAUAAGAUUAGUACC